UGAGUGUUUAUGCAGGAUAUAUUUUCACAGGAAGACUACUGCAAUCACAUUAGAAAUUAAUUUGCUAAUACUAAUCAAAUUGAAAAGGUAACCUGUGCCAAAGAGGCAUAUAUGAGGAUUCUCAUUAUAGCAGUAACCUAGGAAAAAAAUGGGUAUGAUUUGCAUCAGUUUCCUCCAAAAGAGGGAAAUGUGUUAAAGGUUUGUUUGCUAAUCUACCACAAUAAUGGGAGAUGGUGGAAUCUUUAGUAGGUAGGGCCUACUGAAGGAAGUUAGGUCAUUGGGGGCAUGUUCUUGUAGUAGAUAUUGAGACCAUGGUCUCUUCUCAUUUCCUUUGCUUCCUGUCUGCCAUGAGGUGAGAAGUUUCCUCUGUCACACCUCCUUCCACAAUGUACUGCCUUACCUCAAGCCCAAAAGCAGUGGGGCCAACCAACUGAAUCUAUGAAAUUUUGAGUCAAAAUAAAACUUUCCUCCCUAUAAGUUGCUUAUUUCAGAUAUUUUUGUCACAGUAAUGGAAAGCUG
This 519-nucleotide long non-coding RNA is filed under the name Marmota monax (woodchuck). The record is from RNAcentral. Lineage: Eukaryota; Metazoa; Chordata; Mammalia; Rodentia; Sciuridae.